GAUGAACGCUGGCGGCGUGCCUAAUACAUGCAAGUCGAGCGAACAGACGAGGCUCUUGCUCCUCUUACGUUAGCGGCGGACGGGUAAUUAACACGUGGAUAACCUACCUAUAAGACUGACGUCACGUCGGGAACCCUGAGCUAAUACCGGAUAAUAUAUUGAACCGCAUGGUUCAUUAGUGAAAACCGGUUUUGCUGUCACUUGUUGAUGGUUCCGCGCCGCAUUAGCUAGUUGGUAAGGUAACGGCUUACCAAGGCAACGAUGCGUAGCUGACCUGAGAGGGUGAUCGGCCACACUGGAACUGAGACACGGUCCAGACUCCUACGGGAGGCAGCAGUAGGGAAUCUUCCGCAAUGGGCGAAAGCCUGACGGAGCAACGCCGCGUGAGUGAUGAAGGUCUUCGGAUCGUAAAACUCUGUUAUUAGGGAAGAACAAAUGUGUAAGUAACUAUGCACGUCUUGACGGUACCUAAUCAGAAAGCCACGGCUAACUACGUG
Molecule: ribosomal RNA, 497 nt
Filed under: uncultured bacterium
Lineage: Bacteria
Description: partial 16S ribosomal RNA
Rfam family: Bacterial small subunit ribosomal RNA
Source: RNAcentral